This 500-nucleotide ribosomal RNA is filed under the name uncultured bacterium. RNAcentral's name for it is "partial 16S ribosomal RNA". It matches the Rfam family "Bacterial small subunit ribosomal RNA", at positions 30 to 523 of the family's 1533-position model. The record is from RNAcentral.
AUUGAACGCUGGCGGAAUGCUUUACACAUGCAAGUCGAACGGCAGCACGGACUUCGGUCUGGUGGCGAGUGGCGAACGGGUGAGUAAUACAUCGGAACGUGCCCAGUCGUGGGGGAUGACGUAGCGAAAGCUACGCUAAUACCGCAUACGAUCUACGGAUGAAAGCGGUGGUUCGCAAGACGUCGCGCGAUUGGAUCGGACGAUGGCAGAUGAGGUAGUUGGUGGUGUAAAGGCUCACCAAGCCGACGAUGUGUAGCUGGUCUGAGAGGACGACCAGGCAUACUGGGACUGAGACACGGCCCAGACUCCUACGGGAGGCAGCAGUGGGGAAUUUUGGACAAUGGGCGCAAGCCUGAUCCAGCCAUUCCGCGUGGAGGGUGAAGGUCCUCGGGUUGUAAACUGCUUUUGUACGGAACGAAAAGGCUCUGGUUAAUACCCGGGGCUCAUGACGGUACCGUAAGAAUAAGCACCGGCUAACUACGUGCCAGCCGCCGCUGUAA